GGGCCCGCACAAGCGGUGGAGCAUGUGGUUUAAUUCGAUGAUACGCGAGGAACCUUACCAGGGCUUAAAUGUAGUCUGACAGCUUUAGAGAUAGCUAUUUCUUCGGACUACUUACAAGGUGCUGCAUGGUUGUCGUCAGCUCGUGCCGUGAGGUGUCAGGUUAAGUCCUAUAACGAGCGCAACCCCUGUUGUUAGUUGCCAUCGAGUCAUGUCGGGAACUCUAACAAGACUGCCGGUGCAAACCGUGAGGAAGGUGGGGAUGACGUCAAAUCAUCACGGCCCUUACGUCCUGGGCUACACACGUGCUACAAUGGCCGGUACAGAGAGCAGCCACUACGCGAGUAGGAGCGAAUCUUCAAAGCCGGUCUCAGUUCGGAUCGCAGUCUGCAACUCGACUGCGUG
Molecule: ribosomal RNA, 402 nt
Filed under: uncultured bacterium
Lineage: Bacteria
Description: bacterial SSU rRNA
Rfam family: Bacterial small subunit ribosomal RNA
Source: RNAcentral